This 82-nucleotide microRNA precursor is filed under the name Tupaia belangeri chinensis (Chinese tree shrew). Its description in RNAcentral is "Tupaia chinensis (Chinese tree shrew) mir-301 microRNA precursor family". It matches the Rfam family "mir-301 microRNA precursor family". The record is from Rfam by way of RNAcentral. Lineage: Eukaryota; Metazoa; Chordata; Mammalia; Scandentia; Tupaiidae.
UGACCGCAGGUGCUCUGACGAGGUUGCACUACUGUGCUCUUAGAAGCAGUGCAAUGACAUUGUCAAAGCAUCUAGGAUCCGC